Molecule: ribosomal RNA, 2878 nt
Filed under: Acinetobacter baumannii
Lineage: Bacteria; Pseudomonadati; Pseudomonadota; Gammaproteobacteria; Moraxellales; Moraxellaceae
Description: bacterial LSU rRNA
Rfam family: Bacterial large subunit ribosomal RNA
Source: RNAcentral
AGUGCAUGUGGUGGAUGCCUUGGCAGUCAGAGGCGAUGAAAGACGUGAUAGCCUGCGAAAAGCUCCGGGGAGGCGGCAAAUAUCCUUUGAUCCGGAGAUGUCUGAAUGGGGGAACCCACCUACUUUAAGGUAGGUAUUGCAACAUGAAUACAUAGUGUUGCAAGGCGAACGAGGGGAAGUGAAACAUCUCAGUACCCUUAGGAAAAGAAAUCAAUUGAGAUUCCCUCAGUAGCGGCGAGCGAACGGGGAUCAGCCCAUUAAGUUAUGUGUGUUUUAGUGGAACGCUCUGGGAAGUGCGAACGUAGAGGGUGAUAUUCCCGUACACGAAAGGGCACACAUAAUGAUGACGAGUAGGGCGAGGCACGUGAAACCUUGUCUGAAUAUGGGGGGACCAUCCUCCAAGGCUAAAUACUCCUGACUGACCGAUAGUGAACCAGUACCGUGAGGGAAAGGCGAAAAGAACCCCUGUGAGGGGAGUGAAAUAGAUCCUGAAACCGCAUGCAUACAAGCAGUGGGAGCACCUUCGUGGUGUGACUGCGUACCUUUUGUAUAAUGGGUCAGCGACUUAUAUUCAGUAGCGAGGUUAACCGUAUAGGGGAGCCGUAGAGAAAUCGAGUCUUAAUAGGGCGUUUAGUUGCUGGGUAUAGACCCGAAACCAGGCGAUCUAUCCAUGAGCAGGUUGAAGGUUGGGUAACACUAACUGGAGGACCGAACCCACUGUCGUUGAAAAGCCAGGGGAUGACUUGUGGAUAGGGGUGAAAGGCUAAUCAAGCCUGGUGAUAGCUGGUUCUCCCCGAAAGCUAUUUAGGUAGCGCCUCGGACGAAUACCAUAGGGGGUAGAGCACUGUUUCGGCUAGGGGGUCAUCCCGACUUACCAAACCGAUGCAAACUCCGAAUACCUAUGAGUACUAUCCGGGAGACAGACUGCGGGUGCUAACGUCCGUAGUCAAGAGGAAAACAAUCCAGACCGCCAGCUAAGGCCCCAAAAUCAUAGUUAAGUGGGAAACGAUGUGGGAAGGCAUAGACAGCUAGGAGGUUGGCUUAGAAGCAGCCACCCUUUAAAGAAAGCGUAAUAGCUCACUAGUCGAGUCGGCCUGCGCGGAAGAUGUAACGGGGCUAAAACUAUGUGCCGAAGCUGCGGAUGUAUACUUUGUAUACGUGGUAGGGGAGCGUUCUGUAAGCCGAUGAAGGUGUGUUGAGAAGCAUGCUGGAGGUAUCAGAAGUGCGAAUGCUGACGUGAGUAACGACAAAACGGGUGAAAAACCCGUUCGCCGAAAGACCAAGGGUUCCAGUCCAACGUUAAUCGGGGCUGGGUGAGUCGACCCCUAAGGCGAGGCCGAAAGGCGUAGUCGAUGGGAAAAUGGUUAAUAUUCCAUUACUUCUGUGUAAUGCGAUGAGAGGACGGAGAAGGCUAAAUCAGCCUGGCGUUGGUUGUCCAGGUGAAAGGAUGUAGGCAUGUAUCUUAGGCAAAUCCGGGGUACUCUAUGCUGAGAUCUGAUAGCAAGCUGUACUUGUACAGCGAAGUGGUUGAUGCCAUGCUUCCAGGAAAAGUCUCUAAGCUUCAGUUACACAGGAAUCGUACCCGAAACCGACACAGGUGGUCAGGUCGAGUAGACCAAGGCGCUUGAGAGAACUCUGCUGAAGGAACUAGGCAAAAUGGUACCGUAACUUCGGGAGAAGGUACGCUGUUGUUGGUGAUGGAACUUGCUUCCUGAGCUGACGACAGCCGCAGAAACCAGGCCGCUGCAACUGUUUAUUAAAAACAUAGCACUCUGCAAACACGAAAGUGGACGUAUAGGGUGUGAUGCCUGCCCGGUGCUGGAAGGUUAAUUGAUGGGGUUAGCGUAAGCGAAGCUCUUGAUCGAAGCCCCAGUAAACGGCGGCCGUAACUAUAACGGUCCUAAGGUAGCGAAAUUCCUUGUCGGGUAAGUUCCGACCUGCACGAAUGGCAUAAUGAUGGCGGCGCUGUCUCCAGCAGAGGCUCAGUGAAAUCGAAAUCGCUGUGAAGAUGCAGUGUACCCGCGGCUAGACGGAAAGACCCCGUGAACCUUUACUGCAGCUUGACACUGAACUUUGACCUUACUUGUGUAGGAUAGGUGGGAGGCUUUGAAGCUGGAACGCUAGUUCCAGUGGAGCCGUCCUUGAAAUACCACCCUGGUAAUGUUGAGGUUCUAACUCUGUCCCGUGAUCCGGGACGAGGACCGUGUCUGGUGGGUAGUUUGACUGGGGCGGUCUCCUCCUAAAGAGUAACGGAGGAGUACGAAGGUGCGCUCAGCGUGGUCGGAAAUCACGCGUAGAGUAUAAAGGCAAAAGCGCGCUUAACUGCGAGACCCACAAGUCGAGCAGGUACGAAAGUAGGUCUUAGUGAUCCGGUGGUUCUGUAUGGAAGGGCCAUCGCUCAACGGAUAAAAGGUACUCUGGGGAUAACAGGCUGAUACCGCCCAAGAGUUCAUAUCGACGGCGGUGUUUGGCACCUCGAUGUCGGCUCAUCUCAUCCUGGGGCUGAAGCAGGUCCCAAGGGUAUGGCUGUUCGCCAUUUAAAGAGGUACGCGAGCUGGGUUUAGAACGUCGUGAGACAGUUCGGUCCCUAUCUACCGUGGGCGCUGGAAAUUUGAGAGGAUCUGCUCCUAGUACGAGAGGACCAGAGUGGACGAACCUCUGGUGUACCGGUUGUGACGCCAGUCGCAUCGCCGGGUAGCUAUGUUCGGAAGGGAUAACCGCUGAAAGCAUCUAAGCGGGAAGCCUACCUCAAGAUAAGAUUUCCCUAGGACUUUAUGUCCUCUAAAGAGCCGUUCGAGACUAGGACGUUGAUAGGUUGGAUGUGGAAGCAUAGUGAUAUGUGAAGCUGACCAAUACUAAUUGCUCGUGAGGCUUGACU